ACUGUCUAAACAGCUAGCCGACCACUUAAAAUCAACAACCAACAUUAAUACCCCCUUAACCACGCACACCAAGCAACAAACCAUUUUUCCUCCUUAGUAUGGG
RNAcentral lists this ribosomal RNA (103 nucleotides) under Leucopsarion petersii. RNAcentral's name for it is "partial 16S ribosomal RNA". Lineage: Eukaryota; Metazoa; Chordata; Actinopteri; Gobiiformes; Gobiidae. The record is from RNAcentral.